UUAAGUUCAGCGGGUAGUCCUACCUGAUUUGAGAUCACAUAAAUGAAGAAUUGUCCAAGGACUGUUAGAAAGCUGAACUGCCCUCACAUUCAAUAGCGUAGAUAGUUAUCACACCAAUGAACAAGGUUGUUCUGCUAAUGCAUUUCAGGAGAGCUGAACCUUUUACAAGGCCAGCAAAGCCCCCACAUCCAAACCACUAC
RNAcentral lists this unclassified non-coding RNA (200 nucleotides) under Cortinarius sp. Its description in RNAcentral is "partial internal transcribed spacer 2". Lineage: Eukaryota; Fungi; Basidiomycota; Agaricomycetes; Agaricales; Cortinariaceae. The record is from RNAcentral.